Molecule: ribosomal RNA, 40 nt
Filed under: Agaricus cupressophilus
Lineage: Eukaryota; Fungi; Basidiomycota; Agaricomycetes; Agaricales; Agaricaceae
Description: partial 28S ribosomal RNA
Source: RNAcentral
GCUUGACCUCAAAUCAGGUAGGAUUACCCGCUGAACUUAA